Molecule: unclassified non-coding RNA, 2099 nt
Filed under: Hevea brasiliensis (rubber tree)
Lineage: Eukaryota; Viridiplantae; Streptophyta; Magnoliopsida; Malpighiales; Euphorbiaceae
Source: RNAcentral
UGUUUUUAAGACCUUAGCGCUGGUAAACAGAAUAUGGACAUAAUUUUGGGCUCACAUUGCUUUGAAAUCAUCGUCUCCCUUGUUUUUGACCUUGGAGAAUAGCUUGGAAGGCGCCGCAUGUGUAUGGCAGAAGGUGAAACCAAGGCAACUCAUGUCAAAAGAAGGCGCAGAGAUUCAGCUGCAGUUGCACUUGGGGUUGAUGAAAAUCAUAGUCAGCAGCUGCCACAGCAACAAACUGAUCAAACUUCUGCUUCUACCACUGUGAAAAGAAGUUCAAGAUUUCGCGGCGUUAGCAGGUCAAUUAAAGAAACUUUUAUAUUACAUAACCUCUCUUCUAAAAGAGUCACUAACAUAGAUAAAAUUGAACAGACAUAGAUGGACAGGUAGAUUUGAGGCUCACCUGUGGGAUAAGCUCUCUUGGAAUGUUACACAGAAGAAGAAAGGAAAGCAAGGUUGAUAAUUUUAGAUUAUUUUACUUUUCUUGCAAUUGUCCAUUUUAAUUUCAUUUCCAAACGCUCACAUUUUGUUUAAUUUAUAAUCAUGAACUGGAUUGUGAUUGGAAACUGAUUCCGGGACUCAACAGUUUACCUUGGUGAGUACUCUUAACAAGUACUUUGUUUAGGCUCUUUAGUUAUAUAUCUACUUCAUGGACACAGUGACUAAAUUAUCUUGAAUUUAUCAGGAGCUUAUGAUGAAGAAGAAUCUGCAGCAAGAGCAUAUGAUUUAGCUGCAUUGAAGUAUUGGGGAACAUCAACUUUUACCAAUUUUCCGGUACUUAACUCAUAAAUAUGUGAAACUCAUAUCUAUAUUUGCAUAUUCAGAGAAUUGCAUAAUAUAAAUGACAUAAUUUGACAUCCUAGAUGCAAUUUUGCAGAUAUCAGAUUAUGAGAAAGAGAUUGAGAUAAUGCAAACAGUAACAAAAGAGGAAUAUUUGGCCUCUUUGAGGAGGUAGGGCUUCAUAAACCAUGUAUGUACCUUUCUGCUGAUAGUAAUCCAUGUCUACUUUCUCUAACAUUCUCUGGAUUUUCUGGCUACAGAAAGAGCAGUGGCUUUUCAAGAGGGGUAUCCAAGUACAGGGGUGUUGCAAGGUGAGUUUCUUCUUGACUUGAUAAGCUGACUUCUCAGCUAUCACAAAUGGAUAGCAAAUUCUAACUGUUCUUUUAUGGGAUAAUAUAUAUAUGCAGGCACCACCACAAUGGGAGAUGGGAAGCAAGAAUAGGAAGAGUUUUUGGAAACAAAUAUCUUUACCUCGGCACCUACAGUGUGUUACGCCUAAAUCAUUCUUCCAAUUUCUUGUGAUUAAUAUUUGUGCUUGGAUGAAAUUUGAUACACAUAAGCCAAAGCCAAAAAGAAAUAGAAGAAACAAUAACUUGAUAUUUCAUCACAGGCACACAAGAGGAGGCUGCUCGGGCCUACGACAUCGCUGCAAUUGAGUACAGAGGGAUUAAUGCAGUGACCAACUUUGACUUGAGCACUUACAUCAGAUGGCUGAAGCCAGGAGUAGCUGUCCAAGUUGCAGCAAAUGAAACAGAGACAGUUAUAGAUCCUCAGACAUUGCCAUCCACUAAUAGCUACAUUGCAAGAGAAGAAUCUAAACCUUCAUUCCUCAGCACUACUCAGUUCAGUUCAGAUUACCUGGACUCCCCUCAAAAACAAGAGGUUUUCCAAAACAAUAUCCCUGUUAGCCCUUGCAACAAAGCUUCAUCACCCUCUGCCCUUAGUCUCCUCCUUCGAUCUUCCAUAUUUAAGGAACUAGUGGAGAAGAAUUCCAAUGUCUCCGAGGAUGAUAAUGAUGGGGAAGAGACAAAGAACCAACCACAAAUAGGCAGUGAUGAUGAGUUUGGUGGGAUCUUUUACGAAGGAAUUGGCGACAUCCCAUUUGCAUACUCCAACAAAGAAAGCUUAGAUUUGCAAGAAAGAGAACUUCACUUCGUUUUUUGAUCAGAAAAGGAAGUGGACUUGGUACAGCAAUCUGUAAAUUCCUCCAUUUUGUCAAUUAGACAGUAAUUGCAGGUGCUUAAAAAUCUGCCGUGCUUUCUGUAUUUGUGGAUUACAGGUUCCUUCUGUUAAUAUGCAAGACCUUUUUUUUUUUUUUUUUU